Molecule: ribosomal RNA, 447 nt
Filed under: uncultured bacterium
Lineage: Bacteria
Description: partial 16S ribosomal RNA
Rfam family: Bacterial small subunit ribosomal RNA
Source: RNAcentral
AACGAACGCUGGCGGCAGGCUUAACACAUGCAAGUCGAACGCCCCGCAAGGGGAGUGGCAGACGGGUGAGUAACGCGUGGGAACGUACCCUUUACUACGGAAUAGCUCCGGGAAACUGGAAUUAAUACCGUAUGUGCCCUUCGGGGGAAAGAUUUAUCGGUAAAGGAUCGGCCCGCGUUGGAUUAGCUAGUUGGUGGGGUAAAGGCCUACCAAGGCGACGAUCCAUAGCUGGUCUGAGAGGAUGAUCAGCCACAUUGGGACUGAGACACGGCCCAAACUCCUACGGGAGGCAGCAGUGGGGAAUAUUGGACAAUGGGCGCAAGCCUGAUCCAGCCAUGCCGCGUGAGUGAUGAAGGUCUUAGGAUUGUAAAGCUCUUUCACCGGGGAAGAUAAUGACGGUACCCGGAGAAGAAGCCCCGGCUAACUUCGUGCCAGCCGCCGCGGUAA